This is a long non-coding RNA of Engraulis encrasicolus (European anchovy), 2800 nucleotides long. RefSeq lists it as uncharacterized. The transcript has 9 exons. The record is from RefSeq and is a predicted model, not a curated record. NCBI's taxonomy places the organism in Eukaryota, Metazoa, Chordata, Actinopteri, Clupeiformes, Engraulidae.
GGAUUGGUCGCUGCUGCAAUUGUGGCCCUGUCAGACCUUGACAUCAAUUACAAGAUUACUUCAGCUUAUGGCUUUGGGCUGAUAGUGUUCGCCUUGUCUGGGGAAAUUAAUAAAUGCAAGUCCCUGCGAAUGACUUCUCCAUCAUGACCGCAAAGCUUAAGAUUGCUCAGAUACACACCAAUCAACUCACCCAAACUUUGCUACGGUUGUGACAAGAAUCAUUCAACUUCAAUAUAUAUCUCUGGAGAGACACAUGGUGCUGACUCCAUGAUCAAUGCCAUCUCAUUGUCUCCUGUCCUGUUCUGCCAGUUGUUACCCUGAUAUGAUUUUGCUUAUCCUCCUCUGCCUUUUUACAGCUGUAGUAUGAUUUAUGUUCCCUGUUGUAAAUCACUUUGUAUAGAAGCUUCUCUUCAGCGUGACAUAGUGAAUGCUGUGUCCAAUGUUCAAACUGUGUACCUGCCACCUAGAUUGUAAGGAAUUGCUAUGCAAUGCCUAAUUUUGUCUCACACUGUUUUGUAGACUAUUCCGUUUCUAUGCCUUUGCAUUGAAUUGCAUGUCAGAAUGUAAUGAAUUUCUUUAUGCAAUAUAUUGACAAGACUCAACCACACAUGAGCAACACAGCUUUCCUAUGGGCAGUUUCCAUGCCUUUGUAUUUAAUUGCAUGUCUGAAUAUAAUGUAUUUCUUUAUGCAAUAUAUCAAGACUCAACUGCAGAUGAGCGCUUUCCUAUGGGCCGUUUCUAUGUCUUUGUGUUGAAUUGCAUCUCUGUACCUUGUCUGUACUGUCUGUACUCAAGAGCGUACGUACGUACGUACGUACAUACUAUACUGGUUCCUGGUGUUUUGACUACAGCUACUGCGUGCUACUGGGUAAAGUUUUUACAGCCCUGCCAAUGACCGUGGACUUUUAAAACUGAAACUAGUUCAGUAAAGGGACUUUCCUGACAACAGUGCCCACACAGCAGGUGCUAUGCACAACACUAUACUAGUCUUCACAUUUGCCAAAGAAUAGCUGGGAAGUAAUGUAUGAAGACAGUGGUGGUGGAGAAAUAUGGUGGACCUCUACAGCCAUUAUAAAUUCCAUCAUUUUUUCUCCUGUUGCUUUGGACUGGGAUGUGGUCUACUCAGCUAUAGGCCCUAUUACAGUUUAGGACCGCCAUGUGGCAUUGCUCUGUUUUUCACGAUAGUUUUUGAAGUGGCUGGUAUUUGCUGUGGACUACCUUCGCACACAAAGAAAUGCACUGGUCCACCAUAUGAAAGUACAGACGUUGUGUGUGGACUGGUCGUUGCUACACUUGUGGCUCUGUUCAACAUCGACACCACUCACAUGCUUACCUCAGCCUAUGGUUGUGGACUGAUAGCAUUUGCAUGCUUUGGGGAAAUAAAUAAGUACAACUCCUUGUGGAAGAAGCACAGGACUUAUCGUUAUUGGUCCAGAUAGUCCCAGUAUAGAGCAAGAGGGCCUACCUCUCCCUUGUGGCAGCACAACUAACUGCUCUGUAAGAUGAUCGUCAACCCAAAACCUCUUUAUUUUACAAGUAAAACUGUGACAAAAAAAUAAUUUGAAUAGAGGCUCAUGCUGCUGAAAAAUAAAUUCAUCCCAAUCCAUUUCUCAGAUCAGUUAAUGGACACUAGCAUGAUGCAUCAGGCUCUAUUGAAAAAGUGAAAGCCCAACUGGGAAACUCCAACUCCCAUUGUUCCCAACUCCCAAGUGUACACUGUACACAAUGAAAUUGCAUUCAUACCUCACCCGUGCAGGGGGGCAGCCCCAAAUGGCGCCCCAAGGGAGCAGUGCGGUGGGACGGUACCAUGCUCAGGGUACCUCAGUCAUGGAGGAGGAUGGGGGAGAACACUGGUUAAUUACUCCCCACACCAACCUGGUGGGUCGGGAGUCGAACUGGCAACCUUUGGGCUAUAAUGGGCUAUGCCCUCUACCAGGCAACAUGGACGCCAUAAUAAUGUGUAGAAAUGUAUCAGGUAUUACUGUGUUUGAUUUGACCUGAGCAAUCCCGCUGAGUCUUGGACAGGCCAAGGUUUUCUGAAAUGCUACACACGCACACGCGCGCGCGCGCGCACGCGCGCACACACACACACACACACACACACACACACACACACACACACACACACACACACACACACACACACACACACACACACACACACACACACACACACACUGAAAACUAACUGUUCUAUGACAGUAGGGCCAUCUCUACUGUGCAGUACCGUCACCAAUAAAGUUACUCUACUCUACUCUACUCCAAACUCCUGAUUCCUGAAUCCCCUUUCCAUAGUCCUUCCAACAACACUUACUGUGCCUCCACUUACAGUAUCAAGAGCCCUCCCCUACCCUGUCUUCUGUUACUGUGGUACACUCACCAUUGCUGUGUCUCAGGUGGUGCACUUCUGCACUUCGGGCACUACGUUUCAGUGCGUAAUUAAUACGCCAUAUACACUGAAUCAUGGACAUGGAUUUCAAGUGCACCAUUUGAAAUCCAACACUUGUACCUGCCAUGUAAUAGUAAAAUAAUGUAAUGUAAUGUAAGUUUUGAGAUGUUUACCAUGCCUGGGAAAGGUCCUCGGUGGAGAGGCCAGAGGCACGUUGUGGAAAGGUGCUGGAUACCAUUGGGGAUUAGCCUCGCGUGAGGACUAUAAUGAUACGUGACAUUUGAAAUGUGCCUUUUAGUUUUAGACCAACAGCACAAAGAGCAAGAGCUGUUUAGUAUUUCUGGAUGCACUUUAAUUUCACCCAACCAGUUCCACUGCAGGCCUAUCAUGCCAUUCAAAGGUUAUAAGAAG